RNAcentral lists this long non-coding RNA (2813 nucleotides) under Pogona vitticeps (central bearded dragon). RNAcentral's name for it is "lncRNA (ENSPVIG00000003303.1)". Lineage: Eukaryota; Metazoa; Chordata; Lepidosauria; Squamata; Agamidae. The record is from RNAcentral.
AUAAAACUUAGAUGGUACAUUGUUGUUGUUGUUUGGUCACUAAGUUGUAUCAGACUCUUUGUGACCCCACGGACCAGAGCACGCCAGGCCCUCCUGUCUUCCACUGCCUCCCGGAGUUGGGUCAACUUCAUGUUGGUCGCUUUGAUGACACUGUCCAGGCGCCUCCUCCUCUGUCGUCCCCUUCUCCUCUUGCCUUCACACUUUCCCAACAUCAGGGUCUUUUCCAGGGACUCUUCUCUUCUCAUGAGAUGGCCAUUCCUUUAGAAUGGAUAGGUUUGUUCUCCUUGCAGUCCAGGGGACUCUCAAGAGCCUCCUCCAGCACCACAAUUCACAACAAGGAUGGUUGAUCUACUGGGGAAUACUGAAAUUUACAGUUUGGCUUAUGCUAAGGAAUAAGAUUUUGGCCACUACGUUUCCUUCAGAAUGUUCUAGAUUCCGAUUCCCUCCUCCCCACUAUAGAUUGAAGGAAAUGUUUCAAUUGGAAAUCGCCAUGUCCCUAUGAGUGACUCUGCAGAGAUGGUCUGUCUUGAGAAAAAUAUUGGCUUGAUAGGCUCAUACACUUCGGUUCGCUUACAGCUCCAUACUUUAAAACCUAAAUCCCACCAGAAUGCUUUGCUUUAUCAUGAUUCCUUUUUUUAAAUCUUCUUAGGCAGGUUUUUCUGCUCAUGAAGGCUGAUUUGAUGCCCUGACUUUAGAACAUCCAUGGUUUCUAGAUCAGUUCGUGUUGAAGAAAAUGGAGGUUACAUUUCAGCACAACACAGGGUUUCCUGGCACCACCAUCAAAGAGGAGCUGGAAGAGAAACCAUGUAACCUGCAUUGGAGAGAACCUGAGAUGUUGCCAGGAACCAGUUCAGGGUUUCCAAGAGUGACAUUCAACCUACAACGAGAAGAGGAGACACGUGCCCUGCAUCGGCAGAAAUUUGAGGCUUUCCCAAAGGCUGGCUCAGGAUUUCCUGACAUGAUCAUAAAACAAGAAGACGAAGAGAGGUCCUACAUCCUGGAUUGCCAGGGAUCUGAGGAAAGUGUAGGUGUUGGUGGAGACCAGUCAGGGCUUCCUGACGUGAUUGUCAAAAUAGAACAAGACGAAGAGCCACACCGUCCAUAUCGGUGGGAAUCUCAGACCUUCCCAGAGAGCAGCUCAGGUGCCGUACGGCCUGCAAAAAGCGCCUUUCCCUGGUUAUUUUGAAUUGUAGAUAUGCAGCAAUCAUUUCUUGUAUGCAUGCAGAAAUUUCCCCUCAUACAGUGGUGCCCCGCUUAACGAUUACCUCAUUAAACAACGAAUCCACUUGACGAUGAGAUUUUUGCAAUUGCAAAACAGUUUUAAUAGGAAAUGUUGCUUUACGAUGAUCAGUUCCCUGCUUCGGGAACUGAUUUUUCGCUUUCCGAUGAUCAGAAAACAGCUGAUCAUCAAGUUUCAAAAUGGCCGUCCACUGUGCAAAAUGGCUCCCUGCUGUUUUCAGGACUUUAUUUUCGCUGUACAGGCACCGGAAAAUGGCCGCCCUAUGGAGGAUCUUCGCUGGACGAUUAGGUAUUUAGCCCAUUGGAACGCAUUAACUGUUUUUUAAUGCGUUUCAGUGGGUUCCUCCCCCCCCGCUUGAUGAUGAUUUCUGUCUUGUUUUUAAUGCGUUUCAGUGGGUUCCCCCCCCCCGCUUGAUGAUGAUUUCUGUCUCUCCAGCAAUUUCGCUGGAACGGAUUAACAUUGUCAAGCGAGGCACCACUGUAUUUUGUCAGUGUUAAUAGUGAAAUGGCUGGCUGGAUAGCUCCGUGGUCUAGGUAUCUGAUUGCAGAGCUACAGGUUGGGAGUCCGAUUCCUCACUGUGCUUCCUGUCGAUAAAGCCAGCCUGUGUGACCUUGGGUAAGCGGCACACUCCCAAGGUGCCCUUGGAAGAAGAAGGGAAUGGCAACCCACUUCUGCCUAUUCUGUACCUGAAAAACCCUAAAAAGGGUCACCGUAAAUCAGAAUUGACUUGACAGCACAUGAUGAAUAGGGGAAUAUUGCUCAUUGUUACCUGUGUUGUCAUUGUCUUAUGAGUGACAGGACCAUCAGUCCACUUCCAUUAUUUUACAUAAAUAUAAACUGAAGAUAAGAUAUAAUGACCAGUAUUCUAUUACCUAGCUUUGCCGGGGACGUGGGAGUGAAGUCACCAACUGUGAUGAAUGCCAGGGUCUUUCCUUUAGCCACUUAGCGACCUUACCUUGGUGCCUCUGGAGUGGGUGAAACAGAGAGGAGUGAGUUUUGUUAAAGAUCAUGAAAGCAACCUGACAUCAACUUUUCCCAGCACAGUUAGUGUCUUGCCUGGCGUGGCUAAGAUUCCAAGAAAACCAGAAUCUAUAAGGCUGGGCACUCAGCACUUCCAAACCCACCUUGCACGGUAGUUCCCCCACACCCACAAAACCAUCUUCCUGGUAGGCAGACAAAGGGCUAAGUUUGAAUUCAGUACCGCAGGCCCUUUAGAGCCAAUAACCAAAUCAGAGAUCCCCCUGGCACCCUCACUGGGUGAUUUUAAGAGCCAAUUAAAGACUUGGCUCUUUAGGCAGGCCUUCCCUCCUGUCAAUACUUGACUCUUACUUUCGCUUAGUCUUUUGUUCUGUCUUUCAUCUUGAUCAAUACUAACAUUGUCAAUUUAAUUUAUGGUUUUAAUUGUUGUAUGGAUAAGUUUAUUGUGAGCCGCCCUGAGUAGACAUAGUCUAGAAGGGCGGGAUAAAAAGCUAAUUAAUUAAACAAACCAACAAACAAACAAACCAAGGCUAUUGAGUGAAGGCUUUAUGUUUUAUUAAAAUAAAAGGUCAAGGCGGUCGGCGGGGGGGACCCA